AGGCCUGUAGCUCAACUGGUAGAGUGCCACCCGACACUGUGGAAGUUAUAGGUUCGAAUCCUGUCAGGCCUACCA
This 75-nucleotide transfer RNA is filed under the name Candidatus Yonathbacteria bacterium. Its description in RNAcentral is "tRNA-OTHER". It matches the Rfam family "tRNA". Rfam says of the family: Transfer RNA (tRNA) molecules are approximately 80 nucleotides in length. The record is from RNAcentral. Lineage: Bacteria; Candidatus Yonathiibacteriota.